GGGAUUAGCCAAGUCGGUAAGGCACAUGACUUUGACUCAUGGGGUCACAGGUUCGAGCCCUGUUGGUCCCACCA
Molecule: transfer RNA, 74 nt
Filed under: Clostridioides difficile
Lineage: Bacteria; Bacillati; Bacillota; Clostridia; Peptostreptococcales; Peptostreptococcaceae
Description: tRNA-Gln
Rfam family: tRNA
About the family: Transfer RNA (tRNA) molecules are approximately 80 nucleotides in length. Their secondary structure includes four short double-helical elements and three loops (D, anti-codon, and T loops).
Source: RNAcentral